UCUUCGGAGCAUAAAGAACUUCUUCUUAGAGAAAGAACUUGGAAGAACACAGGCACCAGGGCCAAAGCAUGUACAAGUGGAUUGUCUACAAGGGGAAGAGCUUAUCUUAAAUUUGAGCUGCAAUCAAAAAUAAAGAAUCCAUUUUGUUGUUUCUAUUUGUGGAGUUCAAUUGGGAGACAUCAAUUUAUCGUAGCUGUGGAAAAGUAGCAGAAGGUCCAGAGAAAAGCCAUGGAAACGAUGAAGAACUAGGAAGAUGGAAUUCAACCAUGUAUCCUGGAGAGAUGACUGUAACAUCUUACCAAGAAAAGAGACUUUCUGGAUUCCAUGAAGAAGGAGGAAAGUCUACAUUAAAUCCAGGU
Molecule: long non-coding RNA, 359 nt
Organism: Physeter macrocephalus (sperm whale)
Lineage: Eukaryota; Metazoa; Chordata; Mammalia; Artiodactyla; Physeteridae
Exons: 3
Source: RefSeq, a predicted model, not a curated record